This 450-nucleotide ribosomal RNA is filed under the name uncultured bacterium. RNAcentral describes it as "partial 16S ribosomal RNA". It matches the Rfam family "Bacterial small subunit ribosomal RNA", at positions 354 to 796 of the family's 1533-position model. The record is from RNAcentral.
GUGGGGAAUAUUGGACAAUGGGCGAAAGCCUGAUCCAGCCAUGCCGCGUGUGUGAAGAAGGUCUUCGGAUUGUAAAGCACUUUAAGUUGGGAGGAAGGGCAGUAAGUUAAUACCUUGCUGUUUUGACGUUACCGACAGAAUAAGCACCGGCUAACUUCGUGCCAGCAGCCGCGGUAAUACGAAGGGUGCAAGCGUUAAUCGGAAUUACUGGGCGUAAAGCGCGCGUAGGUGGUUUUGUAAGUUGGAGGUGAAAUCCCCGGGCUCAACCUGGGAACUGCCUCCAAAACUGCAUGACUAGAGUACGGUAGAGGGUAGUGGAAUUUCCUGUGUAGCGGUGAAAUGCGUAGAUAUAGGAAGGAACACCAGUGGCGAAGGCGACCACCUGGACUGAUACUGACACUGAGGUGCGAAAGCGUGGGGGGCAAACAGGAUUAGAAACCCCGGUAGUCC